UUUAUAUAAUUUAUUGAUGAUUGUCCUUAUUUUGGGAAUUUUAUCAAUUUAUUGUCAUUUUUUUUCAAGAGUCAUUAUUUUGCACAUGUAUAACGUAAUAUUACCAUUUUCGUGAAAUUAAUAAUUGUUAGCAAUACAUUUUCAUAUCUUGCACAUUAAUAUUUAUAUUUUAUACUUACGUUAUUAUUUAUACAUGUAUUAAUUAAUUAUAUUUUUAGUGUAGCCUGACAUAGCAGAGAAAAUCGGAGCAAUUAAUUUUUAAACGCAGAGCAAAAUUCAAUCAAAUCAAGGUCUCGCCACUUUUUUUUUUAAAAGUGAACAUUUUGAGGUGAUGGGUUAAAAUUUGAUUAGUUAAAAGAAAUAAGGGGACAAGGGGGUAUGACUUCACAUUUGUUUGGACUUUAUGUUAUAAAAUAAGGGGAGGGGUUUAAUUUUAGUGGAAUCCAACACAUAUUGGCACACAACACACUUACACUUCUCAGAUUUUUUUCCCCCUCAUUAUUCUCCAUACCUAAAUUUUUCAGAUUUUGGCAUCCUCUCUCUCUUCUAAACCUAAUAUUUCUUCUCUCCCUUCUCUUUUACAAAAUCGCCGCCGCCGCCUCUCCACGCCGGAGCUUCGAGCUCCGGCGACGCACCUAAACCACCCUCACACGCCGACAAGCCUCCACACCUCCACCACUUCGUCUCCCUCUACUCCCUCCGCCACAUCUCUCUCUUUCCACAGCCGCCGCCGCUCCCCGUCCCCUUCUCCUUGUUGUCCAAGCGUCAACAACAACGACCAACCAGCCCACAAAACAUUUUAUCAACAAAAAAUAUCUUUUUCCAAAACGCCUCUAUCAAAUGGAAGAACACAUUUGUAUUCAAAAACCCAAUUCUCAAAAUGACCAAAUGAUCAAGAAUUGGGAAAAUCUCUGUUCAGAUAUCACAGAAAAAAAUAAUCUCUUAUCUCCCAAUUCGUUCUAUAGUUAUUGCUUCCUCUGUUUGCAAGAUUUGGAAUUCUAUAAUUACCUCUAAUUCUUUCACUACCAAAAUAUCAGGUGGUGUUAGAUUUGUUGGUGGAUUAGUUGAUGUUGAGGACCGUUUGGCUGUUGAGAUUUAUAAUCCAACUUUGGAUUCUUGGGAAUUGUGCCAACCUUUGCCAGCAGAUUUUAGUUCAGGGAAUUCAUCACAGUGGUUAUGUUCAGCUUUAUUAAAAGGAAAAAAUUCUAUGUUUUUGGGAUAUAUUCUUGUUUUGUUACAUGUUUCAAUUUGGAUGAACAUUUGUGGAGUGAGGUAUCCGGAGUUACUUUUUGAAGAUGGCACUCAAAAGAAGUUCAAAUAGCUUCUUAAAUUCUUUGUUUAUAUUUUCUUUUACAUUCUUAAAUUAUGCAAGCAUAAAAUAUAGUGAAACUUUACUUUUUAGGGUGUAGGUUGGUUGUAUUUAUUUAUGAUCUGCUUAGGUGAUUUAAAUUUUAUGUGUUUUAGACAAAUUAAUUUUAGGCAGUUAUUAUUUUUGUAGCUAAUAUUCUUAUAGUUA
Lycium barbarum (goji berry) is the source of this 1516-nucleotide long non-coding RNA. RefSeq lists it as uncharacterized. The transcript is spliced from 2 exons. Lineage: Eukaryota; Viridiplantae; Streptophyta; Magnoliopsida; Solanales; Solanaceae. The record is from RefSeq and is a predicted model, not a curated record.